UUUCAUUAGAACAUUGACAUCUCCUACUCCACUAUAUGAGAUAAUAAAGUUAUAAACUAUUUUCAACCACCGGUUUACAUCCACAAAAUAUUACAUACCACCAUAUAAACAAAAAUAUGCAAACCACUGUCUAAACCAAAAUACAUUUUCCGUACCACGACAUAAACCAAAAUACAUAUUGAAAAACCACCAUAUAAAUCAAAAUAGGUAAACCUCUAAAUUCUACGCAUCCCUCUUACCCCUCUUGCGACCAGAUCGUGUGUAUGGCGUCUUUGUGUUUACACUAGCCUUCUUCAGCCUCAACGAUCGAGGUCUACGUGUAGGUGGAUCAGCUGCCAU
RNAcentral lists this long non-coding RNA (339 nucleotides) under Olea europaea (common olive). RNAcentral describes it as "long non-coding RNA (OEUR_LNC011111)". Lineage: Eukaryota; Viridiplantae; Streptophyta; Magnoliopsida; Lamiales; Oleaceae. The record is from RNAcentral.